GAUCAAUAUAGUUGGGGUGCAGAUACAGGCCUUCCCCUAGGGAAACACUUGCAUCAGUAUUAGUGAGAGACCAAGUACACAUCUGAAGCAUUCCUGUGCUUUCUGUCCACUUGUCAGGUGAAGUUGCCACGUAUGACUGUCCAUCAGCCAGGAGAUGAACCCCCACCCGUGAGGCAGUGACUCAAGGUGCAAGGGAGUCCGGCAAGAAGUGUGGCGCACCCGAGUUGCUGCCACUGCUUUUUGGAUCACCCAGCACGGUGAAGUUGCCACGUAUGACUGUCCAUCAGCCAGGAGAUGAACCCCCACCCGUGAGGCAGUGACUCAAGGUGCAAGGGAGUCCGGCAAGAAGUGUGGCGCACCCGAGUUGCUGCCACUGCUUUUUGGAUCACCCAGCACGGUCUUCUGAAGUCUUCCUGAAAGCAUCCCUGGUGAUCUGUGAGCCCUUGGUCGUGUUGCCCGCCUUCUUCCUGUGGGUCUUGCUGGAUGCUCAUUGUCCCUGUGAGCCGAGGCCCUGGAGGCUUCAGAUUUAGGU
Molecule: long non-coding RNA, 532 nt
Filed under: Bos indicus x Bos taurus (hybrid cattle)
Lineage: Eukaryota; Metazoa; Chordata; Mammalia; Artiodactyla; Bovidae
Description: lncRNA (ENSBIXG00000001908.1)
Source: RNAcentral